AUGCCAUACCACAUUGAAAACAGCAGUUCUCCUCUGACCACCCAAGUCAAACAAUGUCGGCCCGGUUAGUACUUGUGUAGACACCUAAAGUAAAAGCUGUCGUCUACU
Molecule: non-coding RNA, 108 nt
Organism: Cordylochernes scorpioides
Lineage: Eukaryota; Metazoa; Arthropoda; Arachnida; Pseudoscorpiones; Chernetidae
Source: the annotation of a GenBank genome assembly